This is a long non-coding RNA of Brassica napus (rape), 3566 nucleotides long. RefSeq lists it as uncharacterized. The transcript has 3 exons. The record is from RefSeq and is a predicted model, not a curated record. Lineage: Eukaryota; Viridiplantae; Streptophyta; Magnoliopsida; Brassicales; Brassicaceae.
GGAGUGGAAAUGAGUUCUCUUUUACUCAAGUUGGAGAUGAUUUCAAAUUGGGGCGUUGGAUGAGCUUAUAUUCUUUUCUUUCACAUGUUCCCGACACUCAUGGAAGAAGCAUGUGUUCAAGCUUAUAUGAGAGCCACAACCCUGUCAGCACACAUUUGCUUCGAUCUACAAUGAUUGCAGAGUCUGUUCUCUUUAGCAGUGAUAAAGACGCAAGUGAAGGCUCCACCUCAGCUGUAGAAAACAGUGAGUUAAAUAACUCAGUUUCAGUUGCUCUUUCUUGCAUUUUUGUCUAAUAUGUCAGAUGUUUCCUAUGAUUUGAUGUCUCGCAUCAACUAUUUACGAAUGCCGGGUGUUGUGUAGAGUGUCGACGGUAAGCCAGGGAUUUGUUUAGAACCUUAUUUACUUCAUGAGAAAAUCCUGUGGUGGCGAAUGUAAGUUUGGCAAUAGACUUACCUUUUUUACUUAUAUGUUUUGAGAAAUGCUGUUUCUAAUGAAAAGAGUCAACAUGUCUGCAUUUCUUUCACUAGUAAUCACUUUUUAAACUCCCAAGUAUAAUCUAGUCUUUCUACAUUGAAAGACAAACCAUAGUUUUUCUUCUAGAAUUGAGUUUCUUAAGAACUGCAAGUGAGUUACAAGUUUAUUGCUUCUGCAGGUGCUUGUACGUGACAUUUCAAAAGUCUCUAUUCCACAGAGGAGCUUGCUGGCGUCUCUGUGACAUUUCAAAAGUCUCUAUUCCACAGAGGAGCUUGCUGGCGUCUCUGUGACCGUAUUGAAUUUCCUUCAAAGGAUAAAAUCCAACAUGCCCUCUGAUUUUUUUUUUUGCUGAGUUAGUAUCUUUACACAAUUUACAGUCUUCCAGUCUCUGUUACAACUAAAGGAUGAAUGUUGUCUGAUUAGGUUCUAGAUAAUCUUAUAAACAAUUUAUAAAGACUUAUAAAACCAUUUGUAAAGUAUAUAAACAAUUUAUAAAUGCUUAUGAAAACGUUAAAGUUUAUACAAUUUAUAAGGUUUAUAUAGGUUUAUGAAUCAAUUAGAAAGUCCCUAAAUCAUUCAUAAGAAUCUAUAACCAUUUAGAAAGUCUUAUAAAACAAUUUAUAAGAGUUUGUAAAAAAAUUUAUAAUGGUUUACAAGAAUAUGUAAGUAAUCAAUAAGAAUUAAUAAGAGUUUAUAAAUAUUUUGUAAAGUUUAUAAAAAACAGUUUAUGAAGUUUGUAAAUCAUCUAUAAAGUUUGUAAAUCAUCUAUAAAGUUUGUAAAUCAUUUAUAAAUGUUUAUAAAUUAUUUGUAAGAGUAUAUCAACCAUUUAUAAAGGCUUAUAAAGAAGUUUAUAAAGUCAAUAAACCGUUUAUAAAUGUUUAUAAAAGAAAUCAGUUAGAAGAUUUUUAAAUCAUUUAUAAGAGUCUAUAACCAAGAAAGGCUUACAAGAAAAUUUAUAAGGUUUGUAAAAUAAUUUAUAAGAUUUAAUUAUAAAGGUAUGUAAAUAAUUUAUAAGGGUUUAUAAAACAUUUAUAAAAAUUCAUAAUCGGUAUAUAAAUUGGUUAAAAACAAAUAAUACUUUAUAGAAAUUAGCGCAAAUAGAUUUAAAAAUUGGUUUAUAAAUUUUGUUUAUAAAAGUUCAUAAUUGGUAUAACAAAUAUAUCAUUUAUAAGAGUUUAUAAGUAAUCAUUAUAAGAGAUAUAUGUACCGUUUAUAAGAGUAUAAAUUCAUUUAUAAAAUUAUAAACUAUUUAUAACGUUUAUUAAUCAUUUAUAAGGUUUUCUAAAAUUUUAUAAUUUAAUUACAAGAGUCCACAAAUCCUUUUAUAAAGUUUUAUAAUGCUUCAUAUAUAAAUCAGUUACGAGAUUCAUAAAUCAUCAUUUUAUAAGAGCUUGUAAUGUAAGAGUUUAUAAAAUGUAUAAGUGCUUAUAAAUAAUUUUGUAAGUGCUAAUAAAUACUUUUGUAAAGGUUGUUAAAUAAUUUAUUAUCAGUUACAAAAGUGUAUAGAUCUUUUUAAAUAACACCAACAUUCACUACUCCAAACUUUCAUAUAAGGGUAUAAAAUUUAAUAUAUUUUAUAAGGCCUUGUAAAUUUUAAUGUAUAAAGCUUAAAAUUAUAGUUUUAAAUAAUUUGUUAACAUAUUACAUCGCCUAUAAAUAAUUAUUCGCAAGAGAUGAUUAAAACAUUUAUAAGCAUUAUCUAUGGAUUCAUAAACAAUAAUGUAUUAAAAUUUAUUAAAAAUCACUUACAAACCUUCGUAAAACUCAGAUAUACUUGUUUAUAAAGUAUUAUAUAAACUCAGAUAUGAAAUUUAAACACAAAAAAAAAUAUGUAAAGGCUGAUAAAUAACUUUUAACCCCUUAUAUAUCUUAUAAUAAGAUUUUAGAAAGCAUUAUGAAAAUUAAUGAUAAAAAGUUUAAAAAGUAAAAUCGGUGAUAUAAAUACAUGAAGAUGCUCGUUGCAAAUUUUCUUUAAAAAGAAACUAGAGUAAAUGUAAAGUACAAAUGAUUUACAGCUUACAAUCACUUAUAAGAACACGUGUAACACAUAUAUAUUACAGAAAGACAUGUGUCUUGUUUCUCUUAUAUGUGUCAAGAACAUAUAUAUUACAUAUAAAAACACAUGUCUUCUCUCUCUUUCUGCAACUCCAAUCUUCUUGAACAUUGUGUUUCCCUCUGAAAACAUAAAAACAUAAGGCUAAAUAUAUAUAUUAUUUUACGAUUUCUUUUAUAAGGCUUUAUAAAUAUAAAAAUUGUAAUAAAUACCUCAAGGGGGUUACUAUUUCUAGCAAUAUGCAAAUCAUGAGUAAUUAAAACUUCAUCCAGUGUCUGAAUCGUAUUUGACACAAUCCUUGAUGAUAAAUGAGUUCCUCCUGAAACAUUAACAAAAAACAUAAAGCUAAUAGUGAAUCUCCAAAUGACAUGAUUAUAUUUAUAAGGUCUUAUAAACGUAAAAGUUGUAAUAAGUAUUGUUAUGGCAUACUUCCAGCAAUAAGCAGAUCUUGAGUACUACAUACUAUCUUGUAAAAUAACUAACUGAUAACUAUCAUAAACGAAAACCUUAACAAGAAGUUUCAUGUUGUUACCUUAAUGGUUACACAUAGAUGAAAGCCUCCAUUCUCUUGAAGUUUGUUCAGAUAUGAUGCUACUUGACGAGCAUUCCUAAUAAAUACCGUUGGAAGCUCUUUUAAACUAAAACUUAACUUUGAAGGUGAGACAUAGCAAAUAUUUAUACUGUUUAACUUGGAAGGUGAGACAUCGAUUCCAAAAUCUUCUAAAACAACCCCAAUCAAAUCAUUGUAGUUGAUAUCUUCAAGAAUCAUACUAAGAGAAGAUCCCCUUUCAUCAUCGACUAUGAAAGCCCAAUGAAUUCCAUUUAUUAGUUUCCAGUCUCCACGUAUAGAACAUAAUUCGAUCGUCAUAAUUCUGAUUAUAAGAAUAUGGGGAUUAAAAAAGGAAUGAUCAACAAGAUAUAUCAAAAAAAAAACAUAACACUAUGUUCCUCAUUGAUAAAAAUUUAUAAGGUUUUAUAAAUCUGAGAUUUGAAAAUUUCAUGAGAAAAACUUCGUCUCCUUCCCAGAAACCGAUCGAU